GGGGAUGACAGGAUUCGAUAGACGGAUUCUGGUAUCAUUCGCAUUCAUGUCGAGGCCGUUUGAUCCUCGCAAAUCACUCGAACAAUCGACUACGUGCAAACGUUGUUAGCAGAGUGAAGAACGCGAUUGCUCGCGCAUUCAGCGUUCCCGCUUUUGCUCCUGUCCUCGCGUAAUUGCCUGGACCAUCGCGCUCCAGAUACUCAAUACGGAAACCGCGGUGCCAACCCAUUGAGCGUAGGAUAGCGUUUUUGUCUGAGGACGCUAUGUGAAAGAUUAUCAGACUUUACCCAUUGCCGUUUUGCCAUUUUUGAGUCAAUGGGCAACAAAGAAAGUGGCUACACAUGUAUACUGCAGUGGUAUCCCGUUUAGACCCGGGUUCAACUCCCGGCAUCUCCACAA
Molecule: transfer-messenger RNA, 399 nt
Filed under: Patescibacteria group
Lineage: Bacteria
Also listed under: 4 other names
Description: UBA10181 sp001784285 Standard tmRNA
Rfam family: transfer-messenger RNA
About the family: Bacterial tmRNA, also known as 10Sa RNA or SsrA, is named for its dual tRNA and mRNA-like properties. Its role is to liberate the mRNA from a stalled ribosome.
Source: RNAcentral